RNAcentral lists this non-coding RNA (182 nucleotides) under Pseudomonadota bacterium. RNAcentral's name for it is "Proteobacteria bacterium (activated sludge metagenome) 6S RNA". It matches the Rfam family "6S / SsrS RNA". From Rfam's summary of the family: E. coli 6S RNA was the first non coding RNA to be sequenced, but its function was unknown until recently. The record is from RNAcentral. Lineage: Bacteria; Pseudomonadati; Pseudomonadota.
UUUUUCCUGGUAUGUUAGCCAGUGCCUAGUGUCUUUUGAGCCGAUGCUAAAUUGCUUGGGAUCCAGAAUGUCUUUGCUGUUGCGCAAGUCCACUAUAAGUGGGAAGCCUGAUGCGAAGCAGAGGAACCCACUUGAACUUAAAGGGUUCAAGGCAAAUGGUGCAGCGGCACGCUGGGGAAAGC